ACUCCUGCGGGAGGCAGCAGUGGGGAAUUUUGGACAAUGGGCGAAAGCCUGAUCCAGCCAUGCCGCGUGCAGGAUGAAGGCCUUCGGGUUGUAAACUGCUUUUGUACGGAACGAAACGGCCUUUUCUAAUAAAGAGGGCUAAUGACGGUACCGUAAGAAUAAGCACCGGCUAACUACGUGCCAGCAGCCGCGGUAAUACGUAGGGUGCAAGCGUUAAUCGGAAUUACUGGGCGUAAAGCGUGCGCAGGCGGUUAUGUAAGACAGUUGUGAAAUCCCCGGGCUCAACCUGGGAACUGCAUCUGUGACUGCAUAGCUAGAGUACGGUAGAGGGGGAUGGAAUUCCGCGUGUAGCAGUGAAAUGCGUAGAUAUGCGGAGGAACACCGAUGGCGAAGGCAAUCCCCUGGACCUGUACUGACGCUCAUGCACGAAAGCGUGGGGAGCAAACAGGAUUAGAUACCCCGGUAGUCCC
This 470-nucleotide ribosomal RNA is filed under the name uncultured organism. Its description in RNAcentral is "partial 16S ribosomal RNA". It matches the Rfam family "Bacterial small subunit ribosomal RNA", at positions 335 to 797 of the family's 1533-position model. The record is from RNAcentral.